UUGUGUAACGUCAGGCAGAAUAUAAUGUUGUGUUGUGUAGCUAUAACAUGUAACGUCUCCCAAUUUAAGAAAAGAUUUCAUCUCCCUAUCUAAGAAAAGAUUUUGUCUCCUAAGAGUAACAGAGCAAUUUAAUAACAGAUAGUCAUGGAAGUCUGUUGUUUCAUGUUUGAUCCUCCGCUUCUUGAUUUUGGAGACCAAGCAAUUUGUCGUUUGCUCAUGCGAACCAUUAAUCCCAACUUUGCUUUCUUUGCAGUGCUAUGGGCAAAAAGUCAAUAUCAAGAACAACAGGAUUAACGAAAAGCACAUCAACAUCCUUUCAAUCUCUGGUUCAUCUCUUCAUAUCCACUGUUCACUUGUGGAGGAUAACGUACUUGAGUCAGUUAUUGACAAAUACUUCUUUUGAAGUAGUUUUCCUUAGAAGAGAGGGGGGAUAUGUGGAAGACACCUUGUAAAUCCACACCACCAGGGGUUCAUUGUCUAUCGAACACAAGCCCGUAGUCUUCCCAAUCCUUUUUUUGGCUAAGCCAUUCGUGAACGUACGUAUUCUGGGUAAUAAAACUUUUUCCCAAAUAAUU
Molecule: long non-coding RNA, 575 nt
Organism: Daphnia pulicaria
Lineage: Eukaryota; Metazoa; Arthropoda; Branchiopoda; Diplostraca; Daphniidae
Exons: 4
Source: RefSeq, a predicted model, not a curated record